GUCCACGCCGUAAACGAUGAGAACUAGCCGUUGGGACCCUUGAGGUUUUGGUGGCGCAGCUAACGCGAUAAGUUCUCCGCCUGGGGAGUACGGCCGCAAGGUUAAAACUCAAAUGAAUUGACGGGGGCCCGCACAAGCGGUGGAGCAUGUUGUUUAAUUCGAUGCAACGCGAAGAACCUUACCACCCCUUGACAUCCUGCGAAUUUUCUAGAGAUAGAUUAGUGCCUUCGGGAACGCAGUGACAGGUGCUGCAUGGCU
Molecule: ribosomal RNA, 258 nt
Filed under: uncultured bacterium
Lineage: Bacteria
Description: partial 16S ribosomal RNA
Rfam family: Bacterial small subunit ribosomal RNA
Source: RNAcentral